RNAcentral lists this long non-coding RNA (3762 nucleotides) under Sorghum bicolor (sorghum). RNAcentral's name for it is "long non-coding RNA (SBIC_LNC013033)". The stretch from base 2415 to 2508 matches the Rfam family "MIR5387 microRNA precursor family". Lineage: Eukaryota; Viridiplantae; Streptophyta; Magnoliopsida; Poales; Poaceae. The record is from RNAcentral.
ACUUCUCUUUUCAUCCCCUCAGUCUUUCACGUUCACGCCAGCCGCCGCCCACUGUGCAGCUCGAAGGUCAGCGCGACGAUGGCCCGAGCAGCUGAUGGUAGAAGAUGGUGACACCACCGCGGCACACCUCGCCGGUGCACGCGCACAGCAAAAGCUGCACGCACCACUGCCGUGGCGCCCUUUGCUGGCCGCGCGCACACACACGAGGAGUCUCAUGGCAGCGGCGGCGCUUGCUGGUGCACUGGUGGCGAGCUCUUGGACGAGCCCAUCAGCGCCGUCUUAGGUGAGUCUAUUUCUUAAUCUUAGGGCUGGGGAUAACGAUUCUGCAUCUUUUGACCUAUUAUUAGAUCUCUAUGUAUCCGGCCUGGAUCUGGCUUCUGGAUACCGAGCAGCAGCAUCCGUAGGUAUAAGAUUUAUUAGUGAUUUGAUUUGAUUUGAUUUGAUUUGAUUUGAUUUGAUUUGAGGACAAAUUUAUUAGUGAUGCCGCGGUUAUGGAUACCGAGCUGCAGCAUCUGUAGUCUGCGUAUAUGCCGUGGUGGAUCUGGCUUCUGGAUACCGAGCAGCAUCUGUAGUCAUAAAAUAAUCUUAUAUACCGGCCAAGCACAGGGAUUCUUAGUGAUUUGAUUCGAGGACGAAUUUUAUUGAUGUGUGCUGGUCACCUACUAAACAAAAUUAUAUUUUACUCAAUCUACUUUGGUGCAAUAUCUAUUGAAAGGCACAUCUGUAGGUAUAAGAUUUAUCUUAUGACUAUUCAUACAUUUAUUAGAUUACAGACAGGAUAAGAAUAUUUGAGAAUUAAUAUGCUAGGAACAUCUGAUAAUCAUUAUGUUAGGAAAUUAAUGCAUUCUUUCUAUUUUUCAGGCUAAGACCAGCAGGCUAUAUUAAGGAACCACAGCAGGGCAUUAGAGCAUGACACUAUGACAUUGCAACUAGACCACAGAAUUAGUAAGUUGAGAACAUUGUCAUAGGUAGUCUAUGACAAUCCAAGUAUCACAAACCCCUGACGCUUAUGUGCCUGCAAUAUACAAUAGCUUAGGUGUAUCUAAAAGAUCUACAUGCUUCUAGUAUGUAUUCCUACGUGCUUCUAGUAUGUAUUCCUGAGCUGAUCUAUCUAAUUAAACUAGAACAGUUUCCAUAUUCAGUAUUAUUUUAACUGCUUAUUGCUUCCUUAUUUUAGGCAUAUAGUGCACGCAUAUAGUUUCUCAUCUUAUUGCAUAACAUGCCUAAGAUACAUAGUUGAUUAAUUCAGGAAAGCUUGGCUACAACAAAUACAAUCGCAACUAGCACUAAAAAAACCAAAACUAAAAUGCACUUAAGCAACAUAAUUAGUUCGCGUCCGAUCCCAACUAUAAUAGAUAGAUCAUUCGCUUGAUCAACAUCAUUGAACUCCUUUCGUCGGCUCACUGCCUCACCACCUUCAGCCUCAACCACUUGUGCAAAAGAUUUCUUAAUGUGUUCAAUGUAUUCUUCCUCCCAGUACCAACCUGUACAUCCACCGGUACCGUCCCACUGAAAUUAAAAGAGAUAAUCAAAAGUUUAAUUAAUAUCAUUUAAAAAAUAUGCACAUAUAUAAGCAAAUGUCUAGAAAUAACUCACAUUACGAUCCGGACACUUGUAGAAUAUACGACCCUUGUUUACUCCCUCUUUCGACACUUUGUACUCCAUCACAAUCUUCUGGCCACACUUGCCACAAGUAAUGAGAGGGAGUUCCGGCCGGUAUCGCUUUUGAACCCGUUGUGAGACCGAAGAGCCGGUCACGGUUGUCAUCUACUAUCCAUACUCAAUUUUUAAACAAUUAUAAAUUCCACAUUUACUAGUAAUCAUGUAUGAUUAAAGAAGAACCUAAUAAUAUCCUUUAUUUGUCUAGCUACUUCAACAAAUCUUCUAAAUUAUACAAUGGACAUUGUGUAGUAAUAAAAAUAAAUCAAGUGAUAUUAACAAACCAAUUAAUUUGAAUUAUCCUACUUUCUAAGAUCAUAAAAAGAUACUAUAAUUCAUUCUUGCAAACUACAUUAAUACUAGGUCAACCAUGAAAUAAGCAAGAACAUGUGGAUUUGAGCUAAAAAUAAAGAGAACAUCACGAGCCAAAAAUAACAUGAAAAAUACAAGAAAGACAAAAGUUAGUCACCUCCAAACACGAAGAAACGAUGACGGAGUCAAAGAAGAUCAACGAUGGGCGUCGGAGAUGAAGAACAAGCUCCAAGAACAACAAUGGUGAAUGGUGCUCUCGGUUUCAAAUGGGCAGAGAGGAGGAGGGAUCUGGCCUAUAAACCGGACCUUUAGAACCGGUUCAGGGCAAAAACCGGUGCUAAAGGGUCACCUAUUAACACCGGUUUGUGUUACGCACCGGUGCUAAAGGCUUUGCCUCGGCCCGUGGCGCUGGCCGGUGCUAAAGGGGACCCUUUAGCACCGGUUUGUAACCCGAACCGGUGCUAAAGGGUCCCUGCCCCGACAGCACCUGUCAGUAGCCGUUGGGCAGGACCCUUUAGCACCGGUUCGUGUUACGAACCGGUGUUAAAGAGGUCUUUAACCCCGGGCCGCAGAAUGGCCGAGGUUUUUGGCCAUUUUGGGCAUCGACCAAUGCCUCAUUCUGUAGUAGUGACAUAGUUAAUUACAUGUGUAUGUGACACAGGUAUCUAUUGGCUAUGUUAAUGUUUCUAUUAAAUUGGCUCAUAGUUGGACUAUCUAGGAUCCAAUGUUCAUGUUUUUUCGCAUUCUAUAUUGCAAAAUAUAGAGCCUGCAGACCUACAGCAUGGAAACAGACAUGGAGGUUGGUGCUAUCUAAUGUGGGCGCACAUGGAGAUUUGAGGCUUAAUGGAGAAUUGGUCCACUCAAAGUCGAUAGGUUGUAUUUCAGUGAUCUCGUUUCUUCGAUGCCCAUGUAAAUGCAGCCAUCUCUUUUCUUCUUCGCAUCACUUUUUGAUAAGUGGUAGUUUACUGUUUGGCUGAGAAUAUAUGAAUCUAGAGCAUAGGAGUAGAUCACAGGCUUUUGUAAUGUUGAAUCGGCAUGGUGAUUUUUGAAACAUCUACAUAUAUAAAUGUGAAAUGAAGGUUACUGUUUGUAAACUUAAAGUUUCUUUUGUUGACAUGCUGUACAGUAAACUUAAAGAAUCAUCCACCAUUCUUGAGAAUAUACAUGCUCAUGACUUUGCUAGAGAUUAUAAGUAUUAUCAUCUUUUAUUUGUAUGCUAGCUUUAUUAAAUUGAUAAAUAGAGAACUGUAAUAAAUUUGCAACGGUAGUGUUUUAGUUGGCAGCUUACUUGCACAUGACUAAACUUAAUUGAUAUAUUCUAGAGUGUUGUUCAAACAAUGCAUGAUGUUGGAGUAAUGAGAUCAUAUACGUAUAGAAUUUUGUAACUGUUGUUUGAUUUCUUUGGUUUACAAAUGUAAAGAUCCUUUUGACUUUUUCAUUUGUUUCAACAAGUGAUAUUUGUUUCUGAUGUGUUUUCUAUAGGACAUGGAGAAAUUCCAGAAACCUAAGGUAUCCACUCAUGCUCCUGACACCAAGAAAAACUAGCUGGCAGCACCUAUUGAACUAUUAGUUUGGUGACUAAGGUCACUUGUGAGAUAGGGAUGUGAGAUUUUCAUUUGUUUAUUUUAUCUAAGAUAACCUUGUGACUAAGGUCACUCAUUGAACUAUAGUUUGGUGUUCGUGAUGAAUGUAAUAAAUAUGUUGAUGAAUGACUUGUGAACCUAUUGAUUUGGUCAUGAAUGGAAUAUAUUGUUGGACCUGCGGAUGUUAAUGUGGAAUGUUUGAUGUGAG